AAGAUCGGGUAGCUAUUCGGUUGUCCGGCCCUGUCGGACAUGAAGAGGGAACCCGGUGCAAAUCCGGGGCUGCCCCCGCAACUGUAAGCGGACAGCACGGCCGGACGCGCCACUGGGGAACACCCCCGGGAAGGUCGGCCAAGCGUCCAUCCGCGAGCCAGGAGACCUGCCGAUAGCGACUUUGGAUG
This 188-nucleotide non-coding RNA is filed under the name Pseudooceanicola marinus. The record is from RNAcentral. Lineage: Bacteria; Pseudomonadati; Pseudomonadota; Alphaproteobacteria; Rhodobacterales; Paracoccaceae.